AUUAAUUACAGGUGCAUGGUGGAGGCUUGGGGUCUGCUGCAGGAAGACACCACUAAGUUAAAGGAGGAAGAGCUAUUAAAAGACAUGUAUGACAUCUGUCAGGAGGUGGGACUAGUGGGAGACUUCCUGAAGCUGCCUUUCACAGACUCUGAACAAAAGUGUUUGGAGAAAUUUUUACGGAAUCAUGAAAUUCUUUUAGUCCAGCAUCUGCAGCGUGUCAACUGUAUGGCAGCACUACAGCUGAACCAGGCGAUGAAUGUUAACCUUACAAAUGAUUGUGAUCCUCACUGGAGACAGAGAGCAGUUGCCAGAAAUUCUCUAUCAGGCCAACAUGGCAAGAUCCUUCCUAGAGUUGAGAGGCAUCUGGCUGUAGAGAGAACGAAGCCUUACCAUUUGC
Phalacrocorax carbo (great cormorant) is the source of this 397-nucleotide non-coding RNA. The record is from RefSeq and is a predicted model, not a curated record. Lineage: Eukaryota; Metazoa; Chordata; Aves; Suliformes; Phalacrocoracidae.